GGAGAAGUCGCGUAGCUGGCCGAGCGCGCACGAUUGGAAAUCGUGUAAACCCCAAAAGGGUUUCGAGGGUUCAAAUCCCUCCUUCUCCGCCA
RNAcentral lists this transfer RNA (92 nucleotides) under Oscillospiraceae bacterium. Its description in RNAcentral is "tRNA-Ser". It matches the Rfam family "tRNA". From Rfam's summary of the family: Transfer RNA (tRNA) molecules are approximately 80 nucleotides in length. Their secondary structure includes four short double-helical elements and three loops (D, anti-codon, and T loops). The record is from RNAcentral. RNAcentral also lists the same sequence under 1 other name. Lineage: Bacteria; Bacillati; Bacillota; Clostridia; Eubacteriales; Oscillospiraceae.